UGGGGAAUAUUACGCAAUGGGGGGAACUCUGACGCAGCCAUGCCGCGUGAAUGAAGAAGGCCUUCGGGUUGUAAAGUUCUUUCGGUAUUGAGGAAGGUUGAUGUGUUAAUAGCACAUCAAAUUGACGUUAAAUACAGAAGAAGCACCGGCUAACUCCGUGCCAGCAGCCGCGGUAAUACGGAGGGUGCGAGCGUUAAUCGGAAUAACUGGGCGUAAAGGGCACGCAGGCGGUUAUUUAAGUGAGGUGUGAAAGCCCCGGGCUUAACCUGGGAAUUGCAUUUCAGACUGGGUAACUAGAGUACUUUAGGGAGGGGUAGAAUUCCACGUGUAGCGGUGAAAUGCGUAGAGAUGUGGAGGAAUACCGAAGGCGAAGGCAGCCCCUUGGGAAUGUACUGACGCUCAUGUGCGAAAGCGUGGGGAACAAACAGGAUUAGAUACCCUGGUAGUCCACGCUGUAAACGCUGUCGAUUUGGGGGUUGGGGUUUAACUCUGGCGCCCGUAGCUAACGUGAUAAAUCGACCGCCUGGGGAGUACGGCCGCAAGGUUA
Molecule: ribosomal RNA, 547 nt
Filed under: uncultured bacterium
Lineage: Bacteria
Description: bacterial SSU rRNA
Rfam family: Bacterial small subunit ribosomal RNA
Source: RNAcentral